UGAGUAACCUGCCCUUAACUCUGGGAUAAGCCUGGGAAACUGGGUCUAAUACCGGAUAUGACUCCUCAUCGCAUGGUGGGGGGUGGAAAGCUUUUUGUGGUUUUGGAUGGACUCGCGGCCUAUCAGCUUGUUGGUGAGGUAAUGGCUCACCAAGGCGACGACGGGUAGCCGGCCUGAGAGGGUGACCGGCCACACUGGGACUGAGACACGGCCCAAACUCCUACGGGAGGCAG
RNAcentral lists this ribosomal RNA (233 nucleotides) under uncultured bacterium. RNAcentral's name for it is "partial 16S ribosomal RNA". It matches the Rfam family "Bacterial small subunit ribosomal RNA", at positions 118 to 351 of the family's 1533-position model. The record is from RNAcentral.